GCCGGAGUAGCUCAAUUGGCAGAGCACCUGAUUUGUAAUCAGGGGGUUAAGGGUUCAAGUCCCUUCUCUGGCUCCA
Molecule: transfer RNA, 76 nt
Filed under: Deltaproteobacteria bacterium
Lineage: Bacteria; Pseudomonadati; Myxococcota; Myxococcia
Description: tRNA-Thr
Rfam family: tRNA
About the family: Transfer RNA (tRNA) molecules are approximately 80 nucleotides in length. Their secondary structure includes four short double-helical elements and three loops (D, anti-codon, and T loops).
Source: RNAcentral